UACAGAGGGUGCGAGCGUUAAUCGGAAUUACUGGGCGUAAAGCGUGCGUAGACGGUUAUUUAAGUCGGAUGUGAAAGCCCCGGGCUCAACCUGGGAAUUGCAUUCGAGACUGAAUAGCUAGGGUGCGGUAGAGGGAAGCGGAAUUUCCGGUGUAGCGGUGAAAUGCGUAGAUAUCGGAAGGAACAUCAGUGGCGAAAGCGGCUUCCUGGACCGACACUGACGCUGAGGCGCGAAAGCUAGGGGAGCAAACGGG
This 253-nucleotide ribosomal RNA is filed under the name uncultured bacterium. Its description in RNAcentral is "partial 16S ribosomal RNA". It matches the Rfam family "Bacterial small subunit ribosomal RNA", at positions 524 to 776 of the family's 1533-position model. The record is from RNAcentral.